AGCGUGGAGACAGGUGGUGCAUGGCUGUCGUCAGCUCGUGUCGUGAGAUGUUGGGUUAAGUCCCGCAACGAGCGCAACCCUCACCCCUUGUUGCCAUCAGGUCACGCUGGGCACUCUAGGGGAACUGCCCCGGUCAACGGGGAGGAAGGUGGGGACGACGUCAAGUCAUCAUGCCCCUUACAUCCUGGGCUACACACGUGCUACAAUGGCCGGUACAAAGGGAUGCAAGACCGUGAGGUGGAGCUAAACCCAAAAAGCCGGUCUAAGUUCAGAUUGGAGUCUGCAACUCGACUCCAUGAAGGAGGAAUCGCUAGUAAUCGCGCAUCAGCACGGCGCGGUGAAUACGUUCCCGGGCCUUGUACACACCGCCCGUCACACCACGAAAGCCAGCUGUACUCGAAGUCGCUGAG
This 410-nucleotide ribosomal RNA is filed under the name uncultured Methylomirabilota bacterium. RNAcentral describes it as "bacterial SSU rRNA". It matches the Rfam family "Bacterial small subunit ribosomal RNA", at positions 1025 to 1434 of the family's 1533-position model. The record is from RNAcentral. Lineage: Bacteria; Methylomirabilota (SeqCode).